AACAAACGCUGGCGGCGUGCCUAAUACAUGCAAGUCGAACGGGGUAGCAACACCUAGUGGCGCACGGGUGAGUAAUACAUGGGUAAUCUGCCUCAAAGUUGGGGAUAACCUUCCGAAAGGAAGGCUAAUACCGAAUAAGACCACAUGAUCUGCGGAUCAAGAGGUCAAAGGUUUUUCGCUUUGAGAUGAGCCCAUGCGGGAUUAGCUAGUUGGUGAGGUAAUGGCUCACCAAGGCCACGAUCCCUAGCUGGUCUGAGAGGAUGAUCAGCCACACUGGAACUGAGACACGGUCCAGACUCCUACGGGAGGCAGCAGUAGGGAAUAUUGCGCAAUGGGGGAAACCCUGACGCAGCGACGCCGCGUGAGUGAUGAAGGCCUUCGGGUCGUAAAGCUCUGUCGUAUGGGAAUAAUAAACUGAAAGUACCAUACAAGAAAGGAUCGGCUAACUUCGUGCCAGCCGCCGCAGUAA
Molecule: ribosomal RNA, 469 nt
Filed under: uncultured bacterium
Lineage: Bacteria
Description: partial 16S ribosomal RNA
Rfam family: Bacterial small subunit ribosomal RNA
Source: RNAcentral